RNAcentral lists this long non-coding RNA (415 nucleotides) under Fukomys damarensis (Damara mole-rat). RNAcentral's name for it is "lncRNA (ENSFDAG00000031721.1)". The record is from RNAcentral. Lineage: Eukaryota; Metazoa; Chordata; Mammalia; Rodentia; Bathyergidae.
UGCUGCCUUCGCAAAGUUGUUAACCCCAGCCUGCUGGCCGCCGCUGCCUCCUCUGCCUUGAACCUUCGGUGCCUAUCUCUCCGAUUUCCCCCAGUCGCCCGCAGUUCCUGGGGGAAGCCACCCCAUUCCGCCACCGACCAUGGGAGAAAGUCCGACUUUCCGUCCAUCCAGGAUUUUCAAGAUGUUCGAGGACCCAUAUGCUGCCUGGAAGCUGCCUCUGCCAGACACACGAGUCUCCAGCCUAUAUUGUUACAAUUUUCUCCCCAGAACUGGCUUCUCCUCUGCCUGCGCUGAUGAAAGUUGAAUUUGGCCGGUGGAAAUAUUCCUUUUGGGGGCCGAGAUGUUUCCUGUGAACUGUGAACUGUGGUGAGAGCAGACAUGUCGUCACUCCAGUCCGGGGAGCAGAAGGGCGGGC